Papio anubis (olive baboon) is the source of this 117-nucleotide unclassified non-coding RNA. It matches the Rfam family "Metazoan signal recognition particle RNA". From Rfam's summary of the family: The signal recognition particle (SRP) is a universally conserved ribonucleoprotein. It is involved in the co-translational targeting of proteins to membranes. Lineage: Eukaryota; Metazoa; Chordata; Mammalia; Primates; Cercopithecidae. The record is from Ensembl.
GCCAGGCACAAUGGCUUAUGCCUGUAAUCCCAGCACUUUGGGAGGCCGAGGUGGGUGGAUCACCUGAGGUCAGGAGUUCAAGACCAGCCUGACCAACAUGGUGAAAGUCCAUCUCUA